UGGGGAAUAUUGCGCAAUGGGGGAACCCUGACGCAGCCAUGCCGCGUGAAUGAAGAAGGCCUUAGGGUUGUAAAGUUCUUUCGGUAUUGAGGAAGGUUGAUGUGUUAAUAGCACAUCAAAUUGACGUUAAAUACAGAAGAAGCACUGGCUAACUCCGUGCCAGCAGCCGCGGUAAUACGGAGGGUGCGAGCGUUAAUCGGAAUAACUGGGCGUAAAGGGCACGCAGGCGGUUAUUUAAGUGAGGUGUGAAAGCCCUGGGCUUAACCUAGGAAUUGCAUUUCAGACUGGGUAACUAGAGUACUUUAGGGAGGGGUAGAAUUCCACGUGUAGCGGUGAAAUGCGUAGAGAUGUGGAGGAAUACCGAAGGCGAAGGCAGCCCCUUGGGAAUGUACUGACGCUCAUGUGCGAAAGCGUGGGGAGCAAACAGGAUUAGAUACCCUGGUAGUCCACGCUGUAAACGCUGUCGAUUUGGGGGUUGGGGUUUAACUCUGGCGCCCGUAGCUAACGUGAUAAAUCGACCGCCUGGGGAGUACGGCCGCAAGGUUA
Molecule: ribosomal RNA, 546 nt
Filed under: uncultured bacterium
Lineage: Bacteria
Description: bacterial SSU rRNA
Rfam family: Bacterial small subunit ribosomal RNA
Source: RNAcentral